This 71-nucleotide transfer RNA is filed under the name Loxodonta africana (African savanna elephant). It matches the Rfam family "tRNA". From Rfam's summary of the family: Transfer RNA (tRNA) molecules are approximately 80 nucleotides in length. Their secondary structure includes four short double-helical elements and three loops (D, anti-codon, and T loops). Lineage: Eukaryota; Metazoa; Chordata; Mammalia; Proboscidea; Elephantidae. The record is from Rfam by way of RNAcentral.
GCAGUGGUGGCUCUGUGGUAGAAUUCUUGCCUUCCAUGUGGAAGACCCGGGUUUGACUCUCGGCCAAUGCA